GCAGGCGGCCGGACGAUCGCUGCCGUGUUGUCCGCAAGGACUUUCACGGGGGAGGAAAGUCCGAACUCCGCAGGGCAGUGUGCCGGAUAACGUCCGGGACGGAUGCUUCAAGGCAUCUGGACGGCCAGUGCAACAGAGAGCGAACCGCCUCUUCGACCGCAAGGGAGAAGAGGUAAGGGUGAAAAGGUGCGGUAAGAGCGCACCGGGCGCUGCGUAAGCAACGCCGCAUGGUAAACCCCACACGGAGCAAGACCAAAUAGGCAGGGAGUGUGGCUGCACGUCCUCAUGCAGCCAGUGCGUAUCGGCCCGAUGCGCCCAGACGAGGAUAGUCCGCUUCUAAGCGAAAGCCGGAGCGGGCAGUCGAAACCUGCGGGUAGGUUGCUGGAGCCAGUCAGUAAUGGCUGGCCUAGAGGAAUGAUCGUCUAAAACAAAAUUCGGCUUACGGGCCGUCUGCAAAC
This 458-nucleotide RNase P RNA is filed under the name Granulicella rosea. RNAcentral's name for it is "Bacterial RNase P class A". It matches the Rfam family "Bacterial RNase P class A". Rfam says of the family: Ribonuclease P (RNase P) is a ubiquitous endoribonuclease, found in archaea, bacteria and eukarya as well as chloroplasts and mitochondria. Its best characterised activity is the generation of mature 5'-ends of tRNAs by cleaving the 5'-leader elements of precursor-tRNAs. Cellular RNase Ps are ribonucleoproteins. Lineage: Bacteria; Pseudomonadati; Acidobacteriota; Terriglobia; Terriglobales; Acidobacteriaceae. The record is from Rfam by way of RNAcentral.